GAUGAACGCUGGCGGCGUGCCUAAUACAUGCAAGUCGAGCGAACAGACGAGGAGCUUGCUCCUCUGACGUUAGCGGCGGACGGGUGAGUAACACGUGGAUAACCUACCUAUAAGACUGGGAUAACUUCGGGAAACCGGAGCUAAUACCGGAUAAUAUAUUGAACCGCAUGGUUCAAUAGUGAAAGACGGUUUUGCUGUCACUUAUAGAUGGAUCCGCGCCGCAUUAGCUAGUUGGUAAGGUAACGGCUUACCAAGGCAACGAUGCGUAGCCGACCUGAGAGGGUGAUCGGCCACACUGGAACGGAGACACGGUCCAGACUCCUACGGGAGGCAGCAGUAGGGAAUCUUCCGCAAUGGGCGAAAGCCUGACGGAGCAACGCCGCGUGAGUGAUGAAGGUCUUCGGAUCGUAAAACUCUGUUAUUAGUGAAGAACAAAUGUGUAAGUAACUAUGCACGUCUUGACGGUACCUAAUCAGAAAGCCACGGCUAACUACGUG
Molecule: ribosomal RNA, 497 nt
Filed under: uncultured bacterium
Lineage: Bacteria
Description: partial 16S ribosomal RNA
Rfam family: Bacterial small subunit ribosomal RNA
Source: RNAcentral